UAUAGUUUUUUCACCUGUAUUGUGGAGGUGAACUCAGUGGACAUGAGUUUGAGCAAGCUCCGGGAGUUGGUAAUGAACAGGGAAGCCUGGUGUGCUGCAGCCUAUGGAGUUACAAAGAGUCGGACACAACUGAGUGACUGAACUGAACUGGUGGUGGAAGGUGAAAGGAAGAGGGAGUUGGGAACAGAUGUAGAAUUAGCCAGCCCAGAGUUCCCCUUUAAUGCCGUUUUGUAAGUAGAGUUGGGCUUCCCUGGUAGCUCAGUGGUAAAGAACUCACCUGCCAAUGCAGGAGAUGCAGUUUCAGUCCCUGGAUUGGGAAUAUCCCCUGGAGAUGAAAAUGGCAACCCACUCCCGUAUUCUUGCCUGGGAAUUUCAUGGACAGGGGAACCUGGUGAGCUACAGUCUAUAAGGUUGCAAAAGAGUUGGACAUGACGGAGCAAUUAAACAACAACGGUCAUCUUCAGUCCACAGACUUAGAACUGUGCAUCUCUCCCGAAUGUAUAUCUCAAUCUUGGCCACUCCCUGGAGUCUAACUCACGGACCAAACUGCCAUCGAACAUCUCCAUUUAAGUGUCACUUCCCCCGUUCCAGGAGAUCAAUGGGGAUCUUCUGCAUCAUUUAUGUGAGAAGAUGGUAGGUUGGAGCUUGGAACAAUGUUUGGAAGGACAUUGCCUCCCCUUGGAAGCUAAAGCCCUGGCCAAUCUGAAGAAAGUAAAAACCAUUCCCAGUUUUGCUUUGCUAUUAGGAGAGAGAAAAAACCUUGAAGAUGGCCUUUGAGACUCCAGGAAUCUCUGCUGACCUCCACACUUCCAUCCCACCUUCUUCACUCUCUGUUCAGCUUCCCCCUCUCCUUCUCUCCCCUCAUGUUCUUUGUUUGGCUGCACUGGCCUUGAUUCAGUUCCUUACACCAACCAGAAGCCUUUGUUUGUAUUAUUUCUUCUGCCCAGAAGGCUCUUCCCCUUCACUUCUCUCUUUGACCUAAUUAACCAACCUCUAUCUUACAAACUGAUGCUCAUAUAAGACCUUCUAGCGCGAGCUUUCUCAUACCCUCUACACCAAAUGUCCUGUUAAUCUCACAAAAUGCCCUGUGCCUCUCUGUCAUAGGAGAGAAUCUCAGUCUGUACUUAUUUAUUUAUUUAUUUGACUGUUUUAAUGUCGUUCUCUCCUAACCAAGAGGAAAGAAAGCGCGUCUCUGCUCACCAUUAUAUCUCCUGCACUAUUACAGUGCCUGUCAGAGUUAACAAGUAUCUCUUGGAUUUAUGUGUGGUUGAAUGAAUGAGUUGGUGAGUGAAUAAUAAGAAAUCCACUGAAAAGUUUGGUCAAAUUUGAUACCUACUUUCUCAUUAUUAUCAAAUUGAAAAAUACUAGUUACUUGUUUUAUUUAAGAGCUUCCUAUGUCUUUCUUCAGCCAGUUAGCUUAUUUUUAGAACUACUGUUCAUGAGUUGGAAAACCAAUUCUAUAGCUACCUUUAUCUUUUAUUACUCUGAGCCUUGCUUGUUUUAAAAAUGAAGAGAGGAAAGAAAACACUCCAAUUUUGUGGUUCAGUUCACAUUUCAAUUUUUCUCUUCUUUCUUUUAUUCUGAACAUUGUAAAUGGUUUGAAAAACCAAGCUUUUGCAUUUAUAUUGAUCUUUUCAUCUACAGAUUUAUAAGAGCUUUAAAAACAUGUAUUAAUACUUACAAUAGCAUUUCAAACUAGAAAAUACAGCCACAUUAAAUCUCCGUUAAGAUAUAGAUGCUGUUAACAGGUUCACAAUAUGGCAGCAACAAUUUCAAAUACAAAUUAGGGGUUUUGAUUAAACCCUCUAAACUGACUAAUGGUGAGUUCCUCCUAGAGGCACCUGUCAUUUUAAAUCCAACAAUUACGACAUCUCUUCAAAGAAUAUAUGGAUUUAGAAAGCUCUAGCUUGAAAACUCAAGGAUUUAAAACAUUUGCAAAUAAAAAAAGGCAGGAUAACAUUUACUCUUCUAUUUCUAACUUCUCUAGAAAUGUUAUUGGAUUUUUAGCCUGACAUUUUCCCCUAAUAUAUACAAAUAAAGCUAUAAAUUUUCCUUCAAGCACAAGUUUUUGCUGUACUCUGUGAAUUUUGAUAUACCAUAUUUCAGUUAUUUUUUCACUUCCAAACAUUUUCUAAUUUUCAUUGGAAUUUCUUUUUUUGACCCAUGUGUUCUUUACAAAUGUAUUACUUAGUUUCCAAACAUUUAACCAUCUUCUAGUUAAUUUUUAAUGUUGUUAUAGAUUUCAGUCUUAAUUCCACUGUAAUAAAAGAACAUUGUAUGAUUUCAAUCUUUUGCAGUUUAAGACUAGCUGCUUGGUUUAUAUGUACAAUUUUUUAAAAUGUUCUGUGGGCAUUAAAAUGAAUGUUCUUAAAUGUUAU
This is a long non-coding RNA of Bos taurus (domestic cattle), 2378 nucleotides long. The record is from Ensembl. Lineage: Eukaryota; Metazoa; Chordata; Mammalia; Artiodactyla; Bovidae.